Lathyrus oleraceus (garden pea) is the source of this 902-nucleotide long non-coding RNA. RefSeq lists it as uncharacterized. NCBI's taxonomy places the organism in Eukaryota, Viridiplantae, Streptophyta, Magnoliopsida, Fabales, Fabaceae. The transcript has 3 exons. The record is from RefSeq and is a predicted model, not a curated record.
GUUUUUAAUUUCUAAUAGGUUUUCAAUUUUGAUCAAAUUCAAAAAUCUUCGUGCUACUGCGAUUUGUUGAUAUUGAUCAACCAUGGUUUCCCCAAAUAAAAAGAAUCGAUCAAUCAUCAAUGGAAAGCGUAGUUUCCGACUUUAAUUCCCCGUUUGAGAAUUCUGAAUUAUUUUUCACUUCAGGUUUGUUUUUAAGCAGAAAAUUAUAAGGACCUAGCUGUGACAGAAUCAAGAUCAUGGAAGAAGAAGGUUUUUGCAAUUGAGUUCAGGGUCCUUGUCUUCCAUUGAAUCCGCUUUCAUCAAGAUGGCUUUGUGGCGUUCCAGUUCAUCUUUGAUGUGUUGAACAUCUUCACGGACCCCUCUUUGUAAAUUCACUUCUUCUUGAAGUAAGGAACUUAGCUUGUCCAAUAAAAAUGAUACUGAACUAUCUGCCAUUUUUAUGGCGUUGCCUUAAAUUUCUAUCUUUCUCUCUUUCUUUUUUUUGCUCUCUAGAUGAGAAUAAUUGCAAGACUUGGUGAUGAGAUUUCUGAGUGUGUUUUUUUCUCUUUUUUUUCUUCCACUUCUUUUGAUAGGACUCACAAUUUGCAAGGACUUGAUGGGAGACAAGAUACAGGUUGCCUUCCCAUCAUAACUUUGCCCACUUUGAAAAUCUAUUUUGGUAGAAGGAUCUUCCAAUUUUAUGUAGAAAUUUCUAGGUUCAAGACAAUAAUUUUACACUAAAGUCAUGUGAUCAUCGUUUUAAACUACUAUUCAUAGGAGGUGAUGAGGUUCCGAAGUCACUCCCAAUGAAUUUCCCAAUAUCCCUCUUUAUAAGUUUAACUUUAAAAGCUUUUCUAAAAUCAACAAUGACAAAUAUUGUCUUGAUCUAUUACUUGAUAAAAUCUCUAUAUUACUUUUGUUCA